RNAcentral lists this ribosomal RNA (429 nucleotides) under Pseudomonas sp. RNAcentral describes it as "bacterial SSU rRNA". It matches the Rfam family "Bacterial small subunit ribosomal RNA", at positions 355 to 776 of the family's 1533-position model. Lineage: Bacteria; Pseudomonadati; Pseudomonadota; Gammaproteobacteria; Pseudomonadales; Pseudomonadaceae. The record is from RNAcentral. RNAcentral also lists the same sequence under 5 other names.
UGGGGAAUAUUGGACAAUGGGCGAAAGCCUGAUCCAGCCAUGCCGCGUGUGUGAAGAAGGUCUUCGGAUUGUAAAGCACUUUAAGUUGGGAGGAAGGGCAGUAAGUUAAUACCUUGCUGUUUUGACGUUACCGACAGAAUAAGCACCGGCUAACUCUGUGCCAGCAGCCGCGGUAAUACAGAGGGUGCAAGCGUUAAUCGGAAUUACUGGGCGUAAAGCGCGCGUAGGUGGUUUGUUAAGUUGGAUGUGAAAGCCCCGGGCUCAACCUGGGAACUGCAUCCAAAACUGGCAAGCUAGAGUACGGUAGAGGGUGGUGGAAUUUCCUGUGUAGCGGUGAAAUGCGUAGAUAUAGGAAGGAACACCAGUGGCGAAGGCGACCACCUGGACUGAUACUGACACUGAGGUGCGAAAGCGUGGGGAGCAAACAGG